GAUGAACGCUGGCGGCGUGCUUAACACAUGCAAGUCGAACGAAGCACUUUAUUACAAUUUCUUCGGAAUGACGAUUUAGUGACUGAGUGGCGGACGGGUGAGUAACGCGUGGGUAACCUGCCUUAUACAGGGGGAUAACAGUUAGAAAUGACUGCUAAUACCGCAUAAGCGCACAGGAUUGCAUGAUCUGGUGUGAAAAACUCCGGUGGUAUAAGAUGGACCCGCGUCUGAUUAGCUGGUUGGUGAGGUAACGGCCCACCAAGGCGACGAUCAGUAGCCGACCUGAGAGGGUGACCGGCCACAUUGGGACUGAGACACGGCCCAAACUCCUACGGGAGGCAGCAGUGGGGAAUAUUGCACAAUGGGGGAAACCCUGAUGCAGCGACGCCGCGUGAGCGAAGAAGUAUUUCGGUAUGUAAAAGCUCUAUCAGCAGGGAAGAAAAAAAUGACGGUACCUGACUAAGAAGCCCCGGCUAACUACGUGCCAGCAG
RNAcentral lists this ribosomal RNA (491 nucleotides) under uncultured bacterium. RNAcentral describes it as "bacterial SSU rRNA". It matches the Rfam family "Bacterial small subunit ribosomal RNA", at positions 28 to 514 of the family's 1533-position model. The record is from RNAcentral.